GUAUAAGUUUUAAAGGCAAUUAAGCCAAUUAAAAUGACAUUCUGUAACAUACUAUAGGGGGUAUAUUAAAAACAUAGACUGGAAAAUUGCAAGGAAAGCCGGCUUUGCGCACGGCAGUCCUCAAACCGAGUUUUCCUCGAGAGGGUAAAAUUCCCAAAGUCUACAAAAAGUGCACAGGUGGUAAGAAAAGUUGGUGUCGGGCGUGCACAUGCCCCGAAGGGCCAGCAACAACCCAACCAAGCUUAUUCAAUAAUGAUCCUUCCGCAGGUUCACCUACGGAAA
RNAcentral lists this unclassified non-coding RNA (282 nucleotides) under uncultured fungus. RNAcentral's name for it is "sequence contains ITS1". The record is from RNAcentral. Lineage: Eukaryota; Fungi.